UCCUUUGGGCCGGUGUUAAACGCAUGGAAGACUAACAUCCACAGUCAUCUUAUAUUUCAAGAUUAAUCAAUCUACAUAAAAGAGGUUACUUUGGCAACAUAAUGCUUCAAUUGACUAAUUUAAAAUAUUAGAUGCUAAAUCAUACAGUUCCUUAAGUUAUAUAUUGAAUCUUAACUGAAAAUUUACAUGUUUUGACAUGUAUCAUCUGAAUAUUAAUUGUUUUAGUCUUAAUUGGAUAAUACCAAAAUCUG
RNAcentral lists this long non-coding RNA (251 nucleotides) under Nicotiana benthamiana. RNAcentral describes it as "long non-coding RNA (NBEN_LNC007044)". The record is from RNAcentral. Lineage: Eukaryota; Viridiplantae; Streptophyta; Magnoliopsida; Solanales; Solanaceae.